RNAcentral lists this transfer RNA (69 nucleotides) under Nephotettix nigropictus. RNAcentral's name for it is "tRNA-Asn". Lineage: Eukaryota; Metazoa; Arthropoda; Insecta; Hemiptera; Cicadellidae. The record is from RNAcentral.
UUAAUUGAAGCCAAAGGGAGAGGCAGCUUAAUGUUAAUAAGUUAAAUGAUAAAAUAUUAUCCAAUUAAA